Pan troglodytes (chimpanzee) is the source of this 5104-nucleotide RNA transcript. It is a transcript of the gene named mitochondrial amidoxime reducing component 1, with no coding region annotated. The transcript is spliced from 8 exons. NCBI's taxonomy places the organism in Eukaryota, Metazoa, Chordata, Mammalia, Primates, Hominidae. The record is from RefSeq and is a predicted model, not a curated record.
CGGAAGCAGCCUGGGGACCUUGUGCAGUGUUAAACUGAGCCAAGGCCCUUGCCAAUGCAGCUCCAGCUCGAGGCUCCCCGCCGGUAGGAGUCUAGCGUCCCCGAGCCGUGUAGAAGGCACUCUCAGACGCCCAUUGCCGCUCCCAGGGGCCGCCAGGAGAACUCUGGCCUUGGCUCGCCGGUGCGGAGGGCCUGGUAGCAUCCUCCUUCAUCAGACCCCCACUCUCUGGAAGCUCCUAGCCCCUGGGCAGACUGAGGGGAGGGCGGCGGCAGCAGAGAGCUGGACACUGCACAGGCCAGGCAGGGCCUACCAGCUCUCCACUAUUCCCAGGAGAGGCUGCUGCCAGCUGUCUGAUUUUUAAUUUCAAAAUCACGCUUUGUCCUGCAAAUGUUGUAUAUUGUUUAUUUUAGGUCAAAUAACCCCAUAAAUACGUAAGUAAAUAAAUUGGUCACUUGCAGCGAUCGUGGGGUGGGGGAGGGCACAGCGCCCUGCAGCGCAGGCGACGGAAGGUUGCAGAGGCAGUGGGGCGCCGACCACGUGGAAGCUGAGCCACCACCUCCCACUCCCCGCGCCGCCCCCCAGAAGGACGCACUGCUCUGAUUGGCCCGGAAGGGUUCAGGAGCUGCCCACCCUUUGGGCUCGGGGCCAAAGGCCGCACCUUCCCCUAGCGGCCCCGGGCGACCAGCGCGCUCCGGCCUUGCCGCCGCCACCUCGCGGAGAAGCCAGCCAUGGGCGCCGCCGGCUCCUCCUCGCUGGCGCGCUUUGUCCUCCUCGCGCAAUCCCGGCCCGGGUGGCUCGGGGUCGCCGCGCUGGGCCUGACCGCGGCGGCGCUGGGGGCUGUCGCCUGGCGCCGCGCAUGGCCCACGCGGCGCCGGCGGCUGCUGCAGCAGGUGGGCACCGUGGCGCAGCUCUGGAUCUACCCUGUGAAAUCCUGCAAGGGGGUGCCGGUGAGCGAGGCGGAGUGCACGGCCAUGGGGCUGCGCAGCGGCAACCUGCGGGACAGGUUUUGGCUUGUGAUCAACCAGGAGGGAAACAUGGUUACUGCUCGCCAGGAACCUCGCCUGGUCCUGAUUUCCCUGACCUGCGAUGGUGACACCCUGACUCUCAGUGCAGCCUACACAAAGGACCUACUACUGCCUAUCAAAACACCCACCACAAAUGCAGUGCACAAGUGCAGAGUGCACAGCCUGGAGAUAGAGGGCAGGGACUGUGGCGAGGCCGCCGCCCAGUGGAUAACCAGCUUCCUGAAGUCACAGCCCUACCGCCUGGUGCACUUCGAGCCUCACAUGCGACCGAGACGUCCUCAUCAAAUAGCAGACUUGUUCCGACCCAAGGACCAGAUUGCUUACUCAGACACCAGCCCAUUCUUGAUCCUUUCUGAGGCGUCGCUGGCGGAUCUCAACUCCAGGCUAGAGAAGAAAGUUAAAGCAACCAACUUCAGGCCCAAUAUUGUAAUUUCAGGAUGCGAUGUCUAUGCAGAGGUAACGCUAUGCCCCUUUGGAUCUUUCCUUGGAUUUGACUUCUUUUUUAAGGAGAGAAGAGAGAGGCUUGGGGAGGUGAGGUGGCCUGCCCUAGGCUAUACCACAGCAAGGAGGGGCUGGGUUUUGAACCCCAAUUGUACAAGGCCAGAGGAACCCUGAGAAUUCUAGGGCAUAUGUGUGGGGCUGGGACAGCUGGAUUCUAAUCCACCUGCUUCAGCAAGUGACCGUACAAGCCUGGACAGGUCACCAAACUCGCCGAGGCAUCUGCUUCUUGCAGUUGUAAAACACGGGCAGUUUCAAUGACUCCCUCGCCUGAUGGGAUCUGUGAGAAUCAAGGUCGAUGACAAUUUGUGGAAAAGUUCUAGGACAUUAAGUACCACAGAGAGUGUGAUUUGUGCACCGAGGGUCAUGCUGAAGCCAUUUCCACUCCAAAAUUCUGUGACAGUAAGAUUCGGAUGAGAGGAGAAGAGGAGAUGGCCCAGAGUAGAACUUCAGAUCUCGGAGAUUUCUUUCAAUUGAGUCUUACUCUAAAAACCCGUAUCUCUCUCUCUAUCUCUGAGUGUUUCCUAGUUGAGAACAUUCUGUAUGUGAAGCUGGGCGGUAACACAAUGGUGGCUGAGCCGGCCUUGUUUUUAGUAACUCACCCAUCAUCGAGUGGGUUGCUGCCCCUGUGUGGCAUGCGCUGUGAAUAGACACAUGAGAACAAGGGUUGAAGAAAUGCACUUGCUUCUCCUAAGGAGCUCAGUGUGGUCAGAUAGUGAACAAGCAGUCACAGCACAGUGAGAUAUGGCCAGGAGGGUGGCAAGCAGCCAGACGUGGGGACGUGACUAACACCUGCAUUGUGGGGUGAGCUGAAGCAUGGGGCACCCAGGGCUCUGGUCUCAGACCCUUUCUCAUUUGUCUGCACUCACUUUUCUGAUCUGUUCUUUCUCUCCUUUUUUUUUUUUUUUAAUUUAAUCAUCUGUUUUUAAGACCUUCUCUGCCCUGAGGACCCCUAACUAUAUCCUUCUGCCAGAGCUUUCCCCUGCUUCUCCAUAUCUCCAUGUGGAUGUCUAAUCCAACGUCAGGAUGUCUGAAAUUGAGGUUCAGGUUUCCACCCCAAAGCCUGCUGUGCUGUCUCGCCUAUCUCAGCACACAACAGCUCUGACUUCCGCUGGCUCAGGCCCCAAACUGCUAACCACCCUUUGUUCUUCUCUUUCUCUCACAUCCUAAGUUCCUACAGUUGACAGAUCUUGGUGGCUGGGCCUUCCCCCCCACUCCCCUCUCUGCCCGGAUGCAGUCACCACUGGUGCUGCAGCAGCCUGGCUUCACUGGCCUCCUUGCCCCACCCUUGACCCAGCCCUGCACCAUCCAUGGGCUGUUCUCAGCACAUCCAUCAAGGUAACCCUGUUGAUGUAAGUAACAUCAUGUGAUUUGUCUGCUCAAAGCCCUCUCAUGGUUCUCCACCUUUCUUCAAGUAAAAGAUGGGAUCCUUAUGGAUUGCCUGGAAGGCCCAACAUGACCUGCACCCCGCCAGCUCCCAGCCCCUUCUCCUCUCACUCCCCUCUGCUCUCUCACUCUGCCCCAGCCAUACUGGCCUUUUUUCUGGGCCCCGGCUGGGUCCUCUGCCUGGCAUAUCUUCCCUCACAGGCCUCAUGGCUCACUCCAGUGCCUCUUUCAGUCCCCUGCUGCGGGCUUCACUGACCCCGCUCAUCCAGCCCCCCCACAGCACACACCCCACCUAACAAGCCGUGUGUACUCAGGUAUCAGUGUAUUGUCUGUUUCCCCUAUGCAAGCUCCUUGAGGACAGGGGCUGCUGUAUCUCCAGCCCCUAGGAGAGCCCCUGGUACAUAGAAGGUGUGCACUAAUUAUCUGUUAAAUGAAUGACCUGGACAAAGUAUUGUCCAGGAGAAAGGGGGGCACUGAGGGAGGGGUGCAUACACAGGGCUAUGAAGGUAUGAGAGAAUGGCCAUCUUGCAGUGCUGGGGCUCAGGAGAGGAGGGGAGCUGAGAGCACAGGUACUUGGUGUCAGGUUUUGGGGAGUCUGGGAAGAAUUUUUGGCCAGGGAGUGACUGAAUCCGAUUUGCAUGAUACACAUUUGCCUCUGCCAGGAGCCUGGAGAAGGAUUAGAGCAGGUGGGGCCAGGGUGCAGCUGGGAGAGCAGGCUAGCAUGGAGGAAGGCCGAGGACCUGCAUGGAAGUUUCUGGAAAGCAGACCCACUCCUCAUCUCGGAAGCUACCUUCUCAGCAACUGUGGCUUUUCUCUGCCUCCCUUCAUCAUCGGCACUCCCCACACUCAUUUCUUACACCUCACUUCUCCCCGAAGCCACAGUAGAGACAACCACCCUACCUACCACAGUCAGUGACCGUUUCUCAGUCACCACCACCCCGCUCUGAGGACACAUGGAGACUACUUACUGAAACGUUUCUCCUUUAGCUGUACUGCCCUUGCUUCUCUGCUGUUUGUCCUCAUCCCUUACUUCCAAAAGUUCUGGCCUUGACCCUUUUCUCUCCCCUCCUUGGUGAUCACACUGUCUCCUGCAGCAUCGCCCUCUGUCACCUGACAUAGGUCCCUCAAAUGUCCACCCAGGACUCCCUCUGGAGUGCUGCACCACAGUUCCAACUCUUUGUUGGUUGACAGAGAAACUCAGACUUAUGUGCUCCCACCCCAGCCCCUACACCCUCACCCCACCUCCCUAAACUCAUUCUUUCUUUCUUUUUUGAAACAGAGUCUUGCUCUGUCACCUAGGCCAGAGUGCGCUGGCAUGAUCUCAGCUCACUGCAACCUCUGCCUCCCGGAUUCAAGCGAUUCUCCUGCCUCAGCCUCUUGAGUAGCUGGGAUUACAGGCAGAUGCCACCAUGCCCGGCUAGUUUUUGUAUUUUUAGUAUAGACGGGGUUUUGCCGUGUUGGCCAGGCUGGUCUUGAACUCCUAACCUCAGGUGAUCCACCCGCCUUGGCCUCCCAAAGUGCUGGGAUAACAGGCAUGAGCCACUGCGCCUGGCCCCCAAACUCCUUCUGUUGACUUCACAGUUUCUAUCCAGGGCAGCAUGUUUUUUACUUUCACCCAGGCUCAGAGCGUGACAGUCGGCCCUGGCUCCUCCCUCUGCUGUGUUCCUCCCAGCCCCAGCCAUGUUGGCUCCCCUUUCUAUUCUUAGCCACCAGCCAGAUCCGACGUUUGUUACUUUAAGUUUGGACCACUGAGUGCUCCCUCCUGAAUGUUGCCACAGCCAAGCCUCCUAGAGCUGAUCAGCGUGAUCUCUCCCGCUCUAAAAGUUUGUAACAAAUCAUCAGUGUUGCUGACUUGCUCAGAAGCCUUUAGUGGCUUUCCAUGUCACAAAGGUCCAAACUUCCCACUCAAUCAUUACAUUCCUCUGUAACCUUGCCACAGUCUGCUUUUCCAGCCUUUAUUACCAACUGUAUUAGUUUAUUUUCAUAGUGCUAUGAAGAAAUACCCGAGACUGGGUAAUUUAUAAAGAAAAAGAGGCUUAAUGGACUCACAGUUCCACAUGGCUGUGGAGGCCUCACAAUCAUGGCAGAAGGUGAAGGAGAAGCAAAGGAUUCUUGGGAUGAGCUUCUUAUUGGUGACGUGGAACUGAAAAGGGUGAUGGCUUGUUCCAGAUGCAUUUUAACCACAGUGGACCCAG